This 209-nucleotide ribosomal RNA is filed under the name uncultured bacterium. RNAcentral describes it as "partial 16S ribosomal RNA". It matches the Rfam family "Bacterial small subunit ribosomal RNA", at positions 30 to 232 of the family's 1533-position model. The record is from RNAcentral.
AUUGAACGCUGGCGGCAGGCCUAACACAUGCAAGUCGAGCGGUAGCACAGGAGAGCUUGCUCUCUGGGUGACGAGCGGCGGACGGGUGAGUAAUGUCUGGGAAACUGCCUGAUGGAGGGGGAUAACUACUGGAAACGGUAGCUAAUACCGUCAUAACGUCUUCGGACCAAAGUGGGGGACCUUCGGGCCUCACGCCAUCAGAUGUGCCC